GCAAAUUAAUUUAUUUGAAUUUAUUUCAGCAAGAGUGAUUGUUUGCAUUUUCACAUAUAUAAUUUAAGAAGUCGUGUGGGCAGCCACAACCAUCAAAACUGACAACUGCAAGGUGAUGAGCCAACCACUCCAUUACAAACAAAUGCCUGCAACGCACUACUCACCAUCGGCAUCAUGCAAUUACUGCAUAUUCAAACCACUACUCUAGUUCUAGAAUGUAUCCCGAAGCUGGGAGUCUGGCGCCAAACGGGAUUAGCAGCCAUUGGGAAUUCGCUGCACUUAUAAGCAGAAUUUCCAAUUAGAUGGAACCGUCCAUUAUGAAGUUUUCACAUUUUAGCCGGUGCAACGGUUUAUAUACGGAAAGGUCACUCAGAUGGAUAAACUAUGGAAGGCCAGUCUAGUGGCGGAUUAUUUUAAUAAACAAAUACAUUAUUGACACUAGCUCGCGUUUUUGGCGUAGUGUGCACAGUGAAUGGGCAAUAAAAAUAAUUGGCAGUUAGAAUUAAAAUCAAUGCUGCCAAUAAAGGAGACAUUUGGCCGGGAGUGUGUGCCGUGCGUCUGCCUGCUUUAAAUGGGCAUCCGACCGGAUGGCAGAAAUUAAAAUGGCGUUUGGCUACUGCGUGUGUAAGUGGAGCAGAAAAUUGUCUCCGCGAUCAGUUUGAUCAAGCAUCCUUCAAUUCAUCCAAUUCCCUGCUAGAUUAACAAUUUUACCCUCACCAUCUUAAGUAAACUGUUGACAUUCAGCUCAGUCGAGGGCUUAUUGUACAAAUUUAAUACAUUUUCUCCGCAAACAAAUCGCACUGGCAAACUUUUUGUCCCCAAUCAGACCGGAAAUGCUAAAGGUCAACAUAAUAAUUUUUAAUUAACUACGGCAUUUACAGACGACUCACUAAGCGACGUCCCCAGUUUUCAUUUAUUGCAAGAAUUUCCACCAGACUUGCUUCUUUAUUAUUGUACAACUUGAUUUUGUAUCUUUGGUAAAACCUUUCGGGGGAAAAUGCGUCUGUUUUUAAAAUACUUCUGCACUUUUGAAUACGAUGUUGUGACAGCCGCACUGUAACUAACCAGGGAACAUAGGCAUCCUCCAAAUUCAGAAAAUUUUCAUUUUUUGCAAAAAGGUAGUAUACUAUUGUAGUGUGCUUAAAAAAAUAUUUUCACCUGCCA
Molecule: long non-coding RNA, 1164 nt
Organism: Paramacrobiotus metropolitanus
Lineage: Eukaryota; Metazoa; Tardigrada; Eutardigrada; Parachela; Macrobiotidae
Exons: 4
Source: RefSeq, a predicted model, not a curated record